GAUCAUGGCUCAGGAUGAACGCUAGCGACAGGCUUAACACAUGCAAGUCGAGGGGCAGCAUUGUUUGUAGCAAUACAGGCAGAUGGCGACCGGCGCACGGGUGAGUAACGCGUAUGCAACCUGCCUAUCAGAGGGGAAUAACCCGGCGAAAGUCGGACUAAUACCGCAUAAAACAGGGGUCCCGCAUGGGAAUAUUUGUUAAAGAAGCGAUUCGCUGAUAGAUGGGCAUGCG
This 232-nucleotide ribosomal RNA is filed under the name uncultured bacterium. Its description in RNAcentral is "partial 16S ribosomal RNA". It matches the Rfam family "Bacterial small subunit ribosomal RNA", at positions 15 to 235 of the family's 1533-position model. The record is from RNAcentral.